GCGCCCGUGGCUCAGCCCGGAUAGAGCGGCGGUUUCCUAAACCGCAGGUCACAGGUUCGAAUCCUGUCGGGCGCG
This 75-nucleotide transfer RNA is filed under the name Phycisphaerae bacterium. Its description in RNAcentral is "tRNA-Arg". It matches the Rfam family "tRNA". Rfam says of the family: Transfer RNA (tRNA) molecules are approximately 80 nucleotides in length. Their secondary structure includes four short double-helical elements and three loops (D, anti-codon, and T loops). The record is from RNAcentral. Lineage: Bacteria; Pseudomonadati; Planctomycetota; Phycisphaerae.